GUGUCAGCCGCCGCGGUAAUACGGAGGGGGCUAGCGUUGUUCGGAAUUACUGGGCGUAAAGCGCACGUAGGCGGCUUUGUAAGUUAGAGGUGAAAGCCCGGGGCUCAACUCCGGAAUUGCCUUUAAGACUGCAUCGCUAGAAUUGUGGAGAGGUAAGUGGAAUUCCGAGUGUAGAGGUGAAAUUCGUAGAUAUUCGGAAGAACACCAGUGGCGAAGGCGACUUACUGGACACAUAUUGACGCUGAGGUGCGAAAGCGUGGGGAGCAAACAGGAUUAGAAACCCUGGUAGUCC
RNAcentral lists this ribosomal RNA (292 nucleotides) under uncultured bacterium. Its description in RNAcentral is "partial 16S ribosomal RNA". It matches the Rfam family "Bacterial small subunit ribosomal RNA", at positions 505 to 796 of the family's 1533-position model. The record is from RNAcentral.